This 301-nucleotide ribosomal RNA is filed under the name uncultured bacterium. RNAcentral describes it as "partial 16S ribosomal RNA". It matches the Rfam family "Bacterial small subunit ribosomal RNA", at positions 509 to 807 of the family's 1533-position model. The record is from RNAcentral.
CAGUAGCCACGGUAAUACGGAGGGUGCAAGCGUUAAUCGGAAUUACUGGGCGUAAAGCGUGCGUAGGCGGUUCGUUAAGUCUGUUGUGAAAGCCCCGGGCUCAACCUGGGAAUUGCAAUGGAUACUGGCGAGCUAGAGUGUGUCAGAGGAUGGUGGAAUUCCCGGUGUAGCGGUGAAAUGCGUAGAGAUCGGGAGGAACAUCAGUGGCGAAGGCGGCCAUCCGGGACAACACUGACGCUGAGGCACGAAAGCGUGGGGAGCAAACAGGAUUAGAUACCCGCGUAGUCCCUGUCUCUUAUAC